Molecule: ribosomal RNA, 465 nt
Filed under: uncultured bacterium
Lineage: Bacteria
Description: partial 16S ribosomal RNA
Rfam family: Bacterial small subunit ribosomal RNA
Source: RNAcentral
CUACGGGUUGCUGCAGUGGGGAAUAUUGGACAAUGGGGGAAACCCUGAUCCAGCAAUGCCGCGUGUGUGAAGAAGGCCUGCGGGUUGUAAAGCACUUUCGGUUGGGAGGACUGCUUCUAGCACUAAUAUUGUUGGAAGUUGACGUUACCUUCAGAAGAAGCACCGGCUAACUCCGUGCCAGCAGCCGCGAUAAUACGGAGGGUGCAAGCGUUAAUCGGAAUUACUGGGCGUAAAGCGCGCGUAGGCGGCUAGAUCAGUCGGGUGUGAAAGCCCCGGGCUUAACCUGGGAACUGCAUCCGAUACUGUCUAGCUUGAGUACAGGAGAGGAGAGUGGAAUUCCACAUGUAGCGGUGAAAUGCGUAGAUAUGUGGAGGAACACCAAUGGCGAAGGCAGCUCUCUGGCCUGAUACUGACGCUGAAGUGCGAAGGCGUGGGGAGCAAACAGGAUUAGAUACCCGCGUAGUC